UAGGGACUUUUCCACAAUGGGCGCAAGCCUGAUGGAGCAACACCGCGUGAGUGAAGAAGGGUUUCGGCUCGUAAAGCUCUGUUGUUGGAGAAGAACGUGCGUGAGAGUAACUGUUCACGCAGUGACGGUAUCCAACCAGCAAGUCCAGGCUAACUACGUGCCACCAGCCGCGGUAAUAAGUAGGUGGCAAGCGUUAUCCGGAUUUAUGUGGCGUAAAGCGAGCGCAGGCGGUUGCUUAGGUCUGAUGUGAAAGCCUUCGGCUUAACCGAAGAAGUGCAUCGGAAACCGGGCGACUUGAGUGCAGAAGAGGACAGUGGAACUCCAUGUGUAGCGGUGGAAUGCGUAGAUAUAUGGAAGAACACCAGUGGCGAAGGCGGCUGUCUGGUCUGCAACUGACGCUGAGGCUCGAAAGCAUGGGUAGCGAACAGG
Molecule: ribosomal RNA, 429 nt
Filed under: uncultured bacterium
Lineage: Bacteria
Description: bacterial SSU rRNA
Rfam family: Bacterial small subunit ribosomal RNA
Source: RNAcentral